Molecule: long non-coding RNA, 326 nt
Filed under: Capsicum annuum
Lineage: Eukaryota; Viridiplantae; Streptophyta; Magnoliopsida; Solanales; Solanaceae
Description: long non-coding RNA (CANN_LNC010899)
Source: RNAcentral
GUCUAUGUCCUUGUCUCUCAAAAUAAUAUUUGCAUAUCGGAGGUAAGUGUAGGCUUAUGACGAUUUGGGUGAAAUUCUUCCUUUACUUCAGCUAGAAAUUGAUGUUUUGUUUAGAUACAACCUGGUUUGACGUUUUCCUCCAGUGUUGGUUAGAAUUAAUUGGGCAAAGAGCAUCGAGAGAUAUGUUUCUAUCAACACAAAGUAUAAAAAGGGUCGACUCAAUUGAGGUUCAUGGUUGUUCGUUUUGUCACGCUCUUGUUUACAUGCCUUUGGUUUGCUCCGGAAGAUGUUUCAUCGUAUUUGUAUAUGAGGAGUGGCGUAGAAUC